ACUCCUACGGGAGGCAGCAGUGAGGAAUAUUGGUCAAUGGACGCAAGUCUGAACCAGCCAUGUCGCGUGCAGGAAGACUGCCCUAUGGGUUGUAAACUGCUUUUAUACGGGAAGAAAUAUAGCUACGUGUAGUUAUUUGCCGGUACCGUAUGAAUAAGCAUCGGCUAACUCCGUGCCAGCAGCCGCGGUAAUACGGAGGAUGCGAGCGUUAUCCGGAUUCAUUGGGUUUAAAGGGGUGCGUAGGCGGAAGUAUAAGUCAGGGGUGAAAGUUUGUGGCUCAACCAUAAAAUUGCCUUUGAUACUGUAUUUCUUGAGUACAUUUGAGGUAGGCGGAAUGUGUUGUGUAGCGGUGAAAUGCUUAGAUAUAACACAGAACACCGAUUGCGAAGGCAGCUUACUAAACUGUAACUGACGCUGAUGCACGAAAGCGUGGGGAUCGAACAGGAUUAGAUACCCUGGUAGCACAGGGG
Molecule: ribosomal RNA, 470 nt
Filed under: uncultured bacterium
Lineage: Bacteria
Description: bacterial SSU rRNA
Rfam family: Bacterial small subunit ribosomal RNA
Source: RNAcentral